UGUUAUAAUGAUGAAUAUUUUUUUUUACAGUUAUCCCUGUCUUAAUCAAUCUAUGUUGAGAAUCGUAAACCUGAUACAAUA
Molecule: small nucleolar RNA, 81 nt
Filed under: Nadsonia fulvescens var. elongata DSM 6958
Lineage: Eukaryota; Fungi; Ascomycota; Dipodascomycetes; Dipodascales
Description: Small nucleolar RNA R38
Rfam family: Small nucleolar RNA R38
About the family: snoR38 is a C/D box small nucleolar RNA conserved across yeast, human, Arabidopsis and rice.
Source: Rfam by way of RNAcentral